GACGAACGCUGGCGGCGUGCUUAACACAUGCAAGUCGAACGGAAAGGCCCUGCUUUUGUGGGGUGCUCGAGUGGCGAACGGGUGAGUAACACGUGAGUAACCUGCCCUUGACUUUGGGAUAACUUCAGGAAACUGGGGCUAAUACCGGAUAGGAGCUCCUGCUGCAUGGUGGGGGUUGGAAAGUUUCGGCGGUUGGGGAUGGACUCGCGGCUUAUCAGCUUGUUGGUGGGGUAGUGGCUUACCAAGGCUUUGACGGGUAGCCGGCCUGAGAGGGUGACCGGCACAAUGGGACUGGGGAACCGGCCAGGACUCCACCGGGGGCAAGAGGGGGGGAUUUUGCAACAUGGGGCGAAGCCUGGCUGAGGAACCGCCGCGUGGGGAAUGAGGCCUUCGGGUUGUAAACCGCUUUCGCCUGUGACGAAGCGUGAGUGACGGUAAUGGGUAAAGAAGCACCGGCUAACUACGUG
Molecule: ribosomal RNA, 467 nt
Filed under: uncultured bacterium
Lineage: Bacteria
Description: partial 16S ribosomal RNA
Rfam family: Bacterial small subunit ribosomal RNA
Source: RNAcentral